Myiozetetes cayanensis is the source of this 117-nucleotide long non-coding RNA. RefSeq lists it as uncharacterized. The transcript has 3 exons. NCBI's taxonomy places the organism in Eukaryota, Metazoa, Chordata, Aves, Passeriformes, Tyrannidae. The record is from RefSeq and is a predicted model, not a curated record.
CCCAGGUGUGUCCAGGUGUGUUCCCAUCUAUCCCAGGUGUGCCCCAGGUGUCCCAGGUGUGUCCAGGUGUGUUCCCAUCUAUCCCAGGUGUGUUCCCAGCUAUCCCAGGUGCCCCCC